CUGACUGGCAGGGCAGAGGUCCGGGCUUUCUUGUUCUUGCUUUUCUCUAUUUUCCCAGCAUUCUACAAAGGGCAGGCAUUGCUUCUACUAUCAAAGAAGAGC
Sapajus apella (tufted capuchin) is the source of this 102-nucleotide long non-coding RNA. RefSeq lists it as uncharacterized. The record is from RefSeq and is a predicted model, not a curated record. NCBI's taxonomy places the organism in Eukaryota, Metazoa, Chordata, Mammalia, Primates, Cebidae. The transcript has 3 exons.